GACGAACGCUGGCGGCGUGCCUAACACAUGCAAGUCGAACGGAGAUUUCAGCAAUGGAAUCUUAGUGGCGAACGGGUGAGUAACGCGUAGACAACCUACCUUCUUGAUGGGGACAACACUGCGAAAGUGGUGCUAAUACCGAAUGUUGUACUUUGAUUGCAUAAUCGAAGUACUAAAGAUGGCCUCUAUUUAUAAGCUAUCGCAAGAAGAUGGGUCUGCGUCUGAUUAGCUAGUUGGUGAGGUAAUGGCUCACCAAGGCGACGAUCAGUAGCCGGUCUGAGAGGAUGAACGGCCACACUGGGACUGAGACACGGCCCAGACUCCUACGGGUGGCUG
This 336-nucleotide ribosomal RNA is filed under the name uncultured Bacillota bacterium. Its description in RNAcentral is "bacterial SSU rRNA". It matches the Rfam family "Bacterial small subunit ribosomal RNA", at positions 28 to 351 of the family's 1533-position model. The record is from RNAcentral. Lineage: Bacteria; Bacillati; Bacillota.